AGCAGCCGCGGUAAUUCCAGCUCCAAUAGCGUAUAUUAAAGUUGUUGCAGUUAAAAAGCUCGUAGUUGAACUUCAGGCCUGGCUGGACGGUCCGCCUUCCGGGCGAGUACUGUCUGUGGUCGGGUCCUACCUUCUGGCGAAGCGUCAUGGCCUUAACCGGCCGUGGCGGGGAACCAGGACUUUUACUGUGAAAAAUUAGAGUGUUCAAAGCAGGCAAUUCGCUUGGAUACAUUAGCAUGGAAUAAUGGAAUAGGACAAUGGUUCUAUUUGUUGGUUUCUAGGACUGUUGUAAUGAUUAAUAGGGAUAGUUGGGGGCAUUAGUAUUCAAUUGUCAGAGGUGAAAUUCUUGGAUUUAUUGAAGACUAACUACUGCGAAAGCAUUUGCCAAGGAUGUUUUCAUUAAUCAAGAACGAAAGUUAGGGGAUCGAAGACGAUCAGAUACCGUCGUAGUCUUAACCAUAAACUAUGCCGACU
This 474-nucleotide ribosomal RNA is filed under the name uncultured Paraglomus. Its description in RNAcentral is "SSU rRNA". It matches the Rfam family "Eukaryotic small subunit ribosomal RNA", at positions 569 to 1047 of the family's 1831-position model. Lineage: Eukaryota; Fungi; Glomeromycota; Glomeromycetes; Paraglomerales; Paraglomeraceae. The record is from RNAcentral.